CCUACGGGAGGCAGCAGUAGGGAAUAUUGCUCAAUGGGGGAAACUCUGAAGCAGCAACGCCGCGUGGAGGAUGAAGGUUUUAGGAUUGUAAACUCCUUUUGUGAGAGAAGAUAAUGACGGUAUCUCACGAAUAAGCACCGGCCAACUCCGUGCCAGCAGCCGCGGUAAUACGGAGGGUGCAAGCGUUACUCGGAAUCACUGGGCGUAAAGAGUGCGCAGGCGGGCUUGUAAGUCAGAUGUGAAAUCCUGUAGCUUAACUACAGAACUGCAUUUGAAACUAUGAGUCUAGAGUGUGGGAGAGGUAGGUGGAAUUCUUGGUGUAGGGGUAAAAUCCGUAGAUAUCAAGAGGAAUACUCAUUGCGAAGGCAGCUUGCUGCAGCGGAACUGACGCUGAUGCUCGAAAGCGCGGGUAUCGAACAGGAUUAGAUACCCUUGUAGUC
RNAcentral lists this ribosomal RNA (440 nucleotides) under uncultured bacterium. Its description in RNAcentral is "partial 16S ribosomal RNA". It matches the Rfam family "Bacterial small subunit ribosomal RNA", at positions 338 to 795 of the family's 1533-position model. The record is from RNAcentral.